ACGGCUAUUGCUUGCUAGGAAACGCCAUUUUAGGGUAUUUUAAGUUAACUAACUACAAUUGGGACUGCGAGAGACGAAUUACCGAUCAAAUGUCCUUUAAAAGGUUCGACCCCAUGAAUAAUUCGUACACUGAGUGAAAUACAGGCCUGCUUAUAAACACGCCAGGCUGUUGUAGUAGGUGACUGGUUUACAUCACUAACCAAAUGAGAACUAUCAGUGAUUUGGAGUCGGUGGAAACGUUUUCGUGUACCAAUAAAAUGAGGAAAGGGUGAAGAUAAAUCAUUGUUCGACAAUAAAUCAAUGCGGCAUGAGGGAUGAGCGUGUGUGGGGGAUGGGACUCAACGCGCAGAUGACAGGCCAUAUGGAGUCGGCCUUCUUUUUUGGACACAAUUUGAUGAACUAAUACUUUCUAAGGGCUUAUUGCGGUGUUAACCAAAUAUUUAUUUCACGUGAAAAUGUUUACGUCGAAGAAUAAACAGUCAAGGGUGUCAUGGCGCAUGUACGAUGACCUUAUUUCUUCAAGAGACUUGUGGUUUAUUUGCAAGUACGCAUUCCAUAAGAGCAUUACAUUACAAUAAUAAUAAAAAAAAAAUCAAAUCAAACCUAAAAUAAAAACGUAUGUUUCGAUUAGUUUGAGUCAAACUCAAAUUGCACUUGUGCAUCAAGAAAUGAAUAAAAAGGAAAACGUACAUUGUUUAGAAAUCACGAAUAUGAAAUAAAACCAAACCGUGCAUCAUGAAAAGUGCAGAAACUAUUUUCCAAACGGCUAAUGUUUAGUAAGCCGACAGAUGCCACCUCUUUCCACCAGAGUAUAAUCCUCUCUGAAGGGAAGGGAACAGAGGAGCAGGACGGAGAGCUUCAGUGUGUGUGAUAAACUGGGCUGCUCUCCUCCUCUCUGUCAGAUCGCGCUCUGCAUCACACCAUUUCACAUGAUGACCGACUCUGCUUACGAGCACCGAAGCCUUCUGCUCUGGCUAUUUGCUUCUAACAUGCAUUUUUCUGCUUUCCUUUUUCGUUUAAUCUUGAAGAAAUCCGAGUGAUGCAACACUGUAAUCGGAAAUGAUUUAUGUCGCAUCCAACAGCAUCAAGGUGCGCAAAAGCGUGCGGAACAUUUGAUGAUUUUGGAAUGACGCUCUUCUGCACCGACUGCCUUGUGGACAUUUCCCCAAACUGGAUAUAUGGACAAUUAUUAUCUCGAGGGAUAAAAACCUAUUAUUUAUAUCCUGCUUCGCAAGGUGUAUUUGUCUCAUAUGACAGCAGACUGUAAAUGCAUUGAGGUGCCACUGUAUCAAAUUAUGUCAGGCUAUAUUAAUAGGUUCUUUGAUUUUCAGACUGAAUGGACGUCACUGAAUGGAUCGCCUAAUUAAAAUCCAAUUCGCGGGGAAUUUUCCUUUCUGUGUAUAUGGUGCAAGGUCGGCUUUGACAAGUGGUCCCCUCCACUUUUUUUCCCAAUAUUUAGUUUACCCCCUUCUGAUGCAGGUGCUUUCAACUGCCCCCACCUUCUAACAUAUACCCCGCCCGACCCCCCACACGAGGCGGCGGUGUCUCUAGUCCCACAGUUUCCCCCUUCUUUCUUACCUCUGCUGCAUUUUGCAUGAGCUAUCUAGGUCAUUAGCAUUUUAGCGUAUGCAAGACUUGACAAAGCUGGUGAGGAGCCAGAUGGGCCCUCUACUAUUUUUUAUAUCUCAUGGGAGUUGAGCAAGGGACCAACUGCAUGCAGCAAGCCACUGAGCGCUUUCUUUUUAUUGCCAUCACUCGGGCCUUAUGUUGCACCAACACAUGAUGGAGAGAUGCGCACCGCGUCCUGUGGAAAUAACGCGCUCGUGCCAUUCGAAAAAUAGGUAAUGUAAUACCUGGGAACGCUUGUUUGAUAUAUUAUGUGUGUGUAUAUUGAUGCACAGAUGCUUUAAGAAUGCAAUGCUGGAUGCUGAUGCUACACAAGUCGGAAGAGGAGGACGUAGACAUUUUGGUGCAACAUCGUUGCUGGCAUAGCUACUAGGUUGUGCGAUUCUCAACAUUGUGGUUGAAAACAGGCCUGCUUUUCUUCGUGUUCACAGCGGACCUUGAUUUAAAUGUCCAUACAAUUAAGGCACGCGGUGAAUGCCAAGAGAGAUGGCAAAUAUCAUCUUUGUCUGUUUUUAUAACAGCACAACGCAGAUAGUGUCCGCGUUUGCGAUGCAUGACAGUUCUUAUUUUCUUUCGCUCGGUUUUUGUGAGAGCGCGCGCGCGCUCUUGUGUGUGUGUGGAGGUGAACCGACGCAUCAAUGCGGCCAAACUGAUCUUUAAUAUUUCAUUGCGUUCUUCCAUAAUUUUUUUGUUGCGCAUACGUGCGUAUCCUUGAAUAUUAUGAAGAAUCAUUAUGAGCAUAAGAGUUCAAAACACUAACAGUUAACCUUGUGGUCUGAUGACCCGUCCUUUUGGUAUUUGUCUGUUAUAGAGGACGCUUUUAAAAUCUAGAAAUGCCACAUUUGAAGACAUGUAGCACACGAUGUCUUCAGGAGAAGAUGAAGAAUAUAAUAUGGGUAGAAAAGUUGUGAGGCCUAUGACAACCAAUUUAAACAGAUCACAUUACGAACCGUUCCGGAUUUCUUGAACACUUAAAGCGACAGAAGUGGGUCCUUAGAGUGACACUUGUCAUGUGUCCUCAUUCUAAAGGCACAGAAAAUAUUACGCAUGUACGUUUGUAUCGUAUCCUUGAUACUGUAAAUAUUUUAGUUUGUCAAUAAAAGCACAUAUUCACGAAGCAAA
Long non-coding RNA from Megalobrama amblycephala (Wuchang bream), 2748 nucleotides. RefSeq lists it as uncharacterized. The record is from RefSeq and is a predicted model, not a curated record. The transcript has 2 exons. Lineage: Eukaryota; Metazoa; Chordata; Actinopteri; Cypriniformes; Xenocyprididae.